This 378-nucleotide ribosomal RNA is filed under the name uncultured bacterium. Its description in RNAcentral is "bacterial SSU rRNA". It matches the Rfam family "Bacterial small subunit ribosomal RNA", at positions 521 to 896 of the family's 1533-position model. The record is from RNAcentral.
UAAGACGAACCGUGCGAACGUUAUUCGGAAUCACUGGGCUUAAAGCGCGCGUAGGCGGGCCGGCACGUCGGAUGCUGAAAGCCCCCGGCUCAACCGGGGAAGGGGCACCGAUACGACCGGCCUGGAGUGGGGUAGGGGGAGCCGGAACUUCCGGUGGAGCGGUGAAAUGCGUUGAGAUCGGAAGGAACGCCCGUGGCGAAAGCGGGCUCCUGGACCCCGACUGACGCUGAGGCGCGAAAGCCAGGGGAGCGAACGGGAUUAGAUACCCCGGUAGUCCUGGCCGUAAACCAUGGGUACUGGGUAGGGGGCUCGCCGAUGGGCUCCCUGCCGCAGCGAAAGCGUGAAGUACCCCGCCUGGGGAGUAUGGUCGCAAGGCUG